Molecule: transfer RNA, 66 nt
Filed under: Neocrepidodera ferruginea
Lineage: Eukaryota; Metazoa; Arthropoda; Insecta; Coleoptera; Chrysomelidae
Description: tRNA-Ala
Rfam family: tRNA
About the family: Transfer RNA (tRNA) molecules are approximately 80 nucleotides in length. Their secondary structure includes four short double-helical elements and three loops (D, anti-codon, and T loops).
Source: RNAcentral
AGGAUAAUAGUUAAAUAUAACAGUUAAUUUGCAUUUAAAAAGUAUUGGUCAAUUCAAUUUAUCUUA